This 421-nucleotide unclassified non-coding RNA is filed under the name soil metagenome. RNAcentral describes it as "partial contains 5.8S ribosomal RNA, internal transcribed spacer 2, and large subunit ribosomal RNA". The stretch from base 1 to 120 matches the Rfam family "5.8S ribosomal RNA", at positions 35 to 154 of the family's 154-position model. The record is from RNAcentral.
GAUGAAGAACGUAGCGAAAUGCGAUACGUAAUGUGAAUUGCAGAAUUCAGUGAAUCAUCGAAUCUUUGAACGCAUAUUGCGCUCUUUGGUAUUCCGAAGAGCAUGCUUGUUUGAGUAUCAGUAAACACCUCAACCUCUUCUUGAUUUUUCAAAAGGAGGGUGGACUUGAGCUAUCCCAACAACCUUUACCGGUCGGCGGGCGGCUUGAAAUGCAGGUGCAGCUGGACUUUUAUCUGAGCCAAAAGCAUAUCUAUUUAGUCCUCGUCAAACAGGAUUAUUACUUUUGCUGCAGCUAACAUAAAGGAUAAUUGUCCUCUUUGCUGACUGAUGCAGGAUUUUACGACACUUUAUGUGUUGUUCAACUCGAUCUCAAAUCAAGUAAGACUACCCGCUGAACUUAAGCAUAUCAAUAAGCGGAGGA